This 373-nucleotide long non-coding RNA is filed under the name Mytilus galloprovincialis (Mediterranean mussel). Lineage: Eukaryota; Metazoa; Mollusca; Bivalvia; Mytilida; Mytilidae. The record is from RNAcentral.
AAAAGACAGACAUCGUACUUGUGGAAUGAUUACGCUUGAGAAAUGUAUCGUCCCUUGCGUUUAAUAUAGAGCUUCAAUUAAAUAGUGUUCUUAUAAUCAAUGAUCUCUGAUAAUUGGAAAGCUAAGCAUGAUUUAUAAUUGUGCAAACAAAUAUAUUGCAUUUUAUACAACGAUUGGCAUAUUGUCUUAAAGAGCAGCACUUUGUUUUAUUGAACCGAUUAACUAUCAACGUGCUUUGUAGUUCUUUCAUUUAACGGAUGUUGAAAAAUUCACCAGAGAAAAGGAUGGCAGAGAGUUCUGAUAAAACCAAAACCGGUAAAACUGUAGUUAUUGGCAUCGAUGGAAGCGAAAAUUCACUGUUUGCAAUUGAAUG